CAUGCAGUCGAACGGAAAGGCCCUGCUUUUGUGGGGUGCUCGAGUGGCGAACGGGUGAGUAACACGUGAGUAACCUGCCCUUGACUUUGGGAUAACUUCAGGAAACUGGGGCUAAUACCGGAUAGGAGCUCCUGCUGCAUGGUGGGGGUUGGAAAGUUUCGGCGGUUGGGGAUGGACUCGCGGCUUAUCAGCUUGUUGGUGGGGUAGUGGCUUACCAAGGCUUUGACGGGUAGCCGGCCUGAGAGGGUGACCGGCCACAUUGGGACUGAGAUACGGCCCAGACUCCUACGGGAGGCAGCAGUGGGGAAUAUUGCACAAUGGGCGGAAGCCUGAUGCAGCAACGCCGCGUGCGGGAUGACGGCCUUCGGGUUGUAAACCGCUUUCGCCUGUGACGAAGCGUGAGUGACGGUAAUGGGUAAAGAAGCACCGGCUAACUACGUGCCAGCAGCCGCGGUGAUACGUAGGGUGCGAGCGUUGUCCGGAUUUAUUGGGCGUAAAGGGCUCGUAGGUGGUUGAUCGCGUCGGAAGUGUAAUCUUGGGGCUUAACCCUGAGCGUGCUUUCGAUACGGGUUGACUUGAGGAAGGUAGGGGAGAAUGGAAUUCCUGGUGGAGCGGUGGAAUGCGCAGAUAUCAGGAGGAACACCAGUGGCGAAGCGGUUCUCUGGGCCUUUCCUGACGCUG
RNAcentral lists this ribosomal RNA (681 nucleotides) under uncultured bacterium. Its description in RNAcentral is "bacterial SSU rRNA". It matches the Rfam family "Bacterial small subunit ribosomal RNA", at positions 54 to 748 of the family's 1533-position model. The record is from RNAcentral.